RNAcentral lists this ribosomal RNA (898 nucleotides) under Aeromicrobium massiliense. RNAcentral describes it as "bacterial SSU rRNA". It matches the Rfam family "Bacterial small subunit ribosomal RNA", at positions 563 to 1459 of the family's 1533-position model. Lineage: Bacteria; Bacillati; Actinomycetota; Actinomycetes; Propionibacteriales; Nocardioidaceae. The record is from RNAcentral.
AAGGGCUCGUAGGCGGUUUGUCACGUCGGGAGUGAAAACUCAGGGCUUAACCCUUGAGCGUGCUUCCGAUACGGGCUGACUAGAGGGAUGCAGGGGAGAACGGAAUUCCUGGUGUAGCGGUGGAAUGCGCAGAUAUCAGGAGGAACACCGGUGGCGAAGGCGGUUCUCUGGGCAUUUCCUGACGCUGAGGAGCGAAAGCAUGGGGAGCGAACAGGAUUAGAUACCCUGGUAGUCCAUGCCGUAAACGUUGGGCGCUAGGUGUGGGGACCUUCCACGGUUUCCGUGCCGCAGCUAACGCAUUAAGCGCCCCGCCUGGGGAGUACGGCCGCAAGGCUAAAACUCAAAGGAAUUGACGGGGGCCCGCACAAGCGGCGGAGCAUGCUGAUUAAUUCGAUGCAACGCGAAGAACCUUACCUGGGUUUGACAUAUGCCGGAAAGCGCCAGAGAUGGUGCCCCUUUUUGUCGGUAUACAGGUGGUGCAUGGCUGUCGUCAGCUCGUGUCGUGAGAUGUUGGGUUAAGUCCCGCAACGAGCGCAACCCUCGUCCUAUGUUGCCAGCACGUCAUGGUGGGGACUCAUAGGAGACUGCCGGGGUCAACUCGGAGGAAGGUGGGGAUGACGUCAAGUCAUCAUGCCCCUUAUGUCCAGGGCUUCAAGCAUGCUACAAUGGCCGGUACAAUGGGCUGCGAUACCGCGAGGUGGAGCGAAUCCCAAAAAGCCGGUCUCAGUUCGGAUUGGGGUCUGCAACUCGACCUCCAUGAAGUCGGAGUCGCUAGUAAUCGCAGAUCAGCAACGCUGCGGUGAAUACGUUCCCGGGCCUUGUACACACCGCCCGUCACGUCAUGAAAGUCGGCAACACCCGAAGCCGGUGGCCUAACCCUUGUGGAGGGAGCCGUCGA